GGAUCCUUAGCUCAGUGGCAGAGCUUCCGAUUGCAGAUCGGAUUGUCCCGUGUUCAAAUCACGGUUGGUCCU
Molecule: transfer RNA, 72 nt
Filed under: Smittium mucronatum
Lineage: Eukaryota; Fungi; Kickxellomycota; Harpellomycetes; Harpellales; Legeriomycetaceae
Rfam family: tRNA
About the family: Transfer RNA (tRNA) molecules are approximately 80 nucleotides in length. Their secondary structure includes four short double-helical elements and three loops (D, anti-codon, and T loops). Further hydrogen bonds mediate the characteristic L-shaped molecular structure. tRNAs have two regions of fundamental functional importance: the anti-codon, which is responsible for specific mRNA codon recognition, and the 3' end, to which the tRNAs corresponding amino acid is attached (by aminoacyl-tRNA synthetases). tRNAs cope with the degeneracy of the genetic code in two manners: having more than one tRNA (with a specific anti-codon) for a particular amino acid; and 'wobble' base-pairing, i.e. permitting non-standard base-pairing at the 3rd anti-codon position.
Source: Rfam by way of RNAcentral